Sorex araneus (European shrew) is the source of this 1308-nucleotide RNA transcript. It is a transcript of the gene named sulfotransferase family 4A member 1, with no coding region annotated. NCBI's taxonomy places the organism in Eukaryota, Metazoa, Chordata, Mammalia, Eulipotyphla, Soricidae. The transcript is spliced from 8 exons. The record is from RefSeq and is a predicted model, not a curated record.
CCUGCGGAGCCGCCGCGCGGCGUGCGGGGCGCGGGCGCGGGCGCGGACGGGCCGGAGCGGGCGGGCGGCAUGGCGGAGAGCGAGGCCGAGACGCCCAGCACGCCGGGCGAGUUCGAGAGCAAAUACUUCGAGUUCCACGGCGUGCGGCUGCCGCCCUUCUGCCGCGGGAAGAUGGAGGAGAUCGCCAACUUCCCGGUGCGGCCCAGCGACGUGUGGAUCGUCACCUACCCCAAGUCCGGCACGAGCCUGCUGCAGGAGGUGGUGUACCUGGUCAGCCAGGGCGCGGACCCCGACGAGAUCGGCCUCAUGAACAUCGACGAGCAGCUCCCGGUGCUCGAGUACCCGCAGCCCGGCCUGGACAUCCUCAAGGAGCUGACGUCCCCGCGGCUCAUCAAGAGCCACCUCCCCUACCGCUUCCUGCCCUCCGACCUACACGACGGUGACUCCAAGGUCAUCUACAUGGCCCGCAACCCCAAGGACCUGGUAGUGUCCUACUACCAGUUCCACCGCUCCCUGCGCACCAUGAGCUACCGCGGCACCUUCCAGGAGUUCUGCCGGCGCUUCAUGAACGACAAGCUGGGCUACGGGUCCUGGUUUGAGCACGUGCAGGAGUUCUGGGAGCACCGCACCGACUCCAACGUGCUGUUUCUCAAGUACGAAGACAUGCACCGGGACCUGGUCACCAUGGUGGAGCAGCUGGCGCGGUUCCUGGGGGUGGCGUGUGACAAGGCGCAGCUGGAGUCGCUGAUCGAGCACUGCCACCAGCUGGUGGACCAGUGCUGCAACGCCGAGGCCCUGCCCGUGGGCCGGGCACAUUGCCUCUUUGCUCGGAAGACCUGCUUGCGUGCGUGGGGCGCGGGUGGCGGCCGUGGGGCCUAGCUCUGCCCCGGCGCAGCCUCAGUGGCACUGCCCUCCCCCCAGCCCGCCCGCAGGCCGCGUGGGGCUGUGGAAGGACAUCUUCACCGUGUCCAUGAACGAGAAGUUCGACCUGGUGUACAAGCAGAAGAUGGGCAAGUGCGACGUCGCCUUCGACUUCUGCUUGUAGGCGCCGCCUCGCCCCUGCAUGCCCGCCCAUGCUCCGCUCGCCCCCGUGUCCUGUGCGCACCUGUCACUGUGGACACGCUGGCCACUGCCCCGGGUCGCAGGAGGGCCCGGGAGGCGGCGGCGGCCCCCAGCUCUGCUCCCCAGCGGGUGCGGGUGACCCGUGCGCGUGUCUGUGCCCACCGCGAACGCCCGUCUCAGCCCCUCGGCACUGCUGGGACCUCAGCGCUUUGCACCGGAAACCUGAAUAAAUGUCCGUCAACCAAA